This 459-nucleotide ribosomal RNA is filed under the name uncultured bacterium. Its description in RNAcentral is "partial 16S ribosomal RNA". It matches the Rfam family "Bacterial small subunit ribosomal RNA", at positions 338 to 795 of the family's 1533-position model. The record is from RNAcentral.
CCUACGGGAGGCAGCAGUGAGGAAUAUUGGUCAAUGGCCGGAAGGCUGAACCAGCCAAGCCGCGUGAGGGAGGAAGGCGCAGCGGGUUGUAGACCUCUUUUGCCGGGGGACAAAAGGCCGGACUCGUCCGGCCCCGAGGGUACCCGGAGAAAAAGCAUCGGCUAACUCCGUGCCAGCAGCCGCGGUAAUACGGAGGAUGCGAGCGUUAUCCGGAUUCAUUGGGUUUAAAGGGUGCGCAGGCGGGACUUUAAGCCUGCGGUGAAAUCGCGGGGCUCAACCCCGCCGAGCCGUUGGAACUGCGUUGCUGGAGUGCGGGAGAGGCAGGCGGAAUUCGUGGUGUAGCGGUGAAAUGCGUAGAUAUCAGGAAGAACACCGAUUGCGAAGGCAGCCUGCUGGACCGCAACUGACGUUGAUGCCCGAAAGCGUGGGGAUCAAACAGGAUUAGAUACCCUUGUAGUC